Molecule: ribosomal RNA, 504 nt
Filed under: uncultured bacterium
Lineage: Bacteria
Description: bacterial SSU rRNA
Rfam family: Bacterial small subunit ribosomal RNA
Source: RNAcentral
AAUCAACGCUGGCGGCGUGCCUCAGACAUGCAAGUCGAACGCGAAAGUUCCCUUCGGGGGAUAAGUAGAGUGGCGUCCGGGUGAGUAACACGUAGGUAAUCUACCUUUGGGUGGGGAAUAACAACCGGAAACGGUUGCUAAUACCGCAUAAUGCAGCGGCACCACAUGGUGACAGUUGUUAAAGCGGGGGGAUCGCAAGACCUCGCGCCUAAAGAGGAGCCUGCGGCGGAUUAGCUAGUUGGAGGGUAACGGCCUACCAAGGCAACGAUCCGUAGCCGGCCUGAGAGGGCGGUCGGCCACACUGACACUGAAAUACGGGUCAGACUCCUACGGGAGGCAGCAGUCGGGAAUUUUGGGCAAUGGGCGAAAGACCUGACCCAGCAACGCCGCGUGAAGGAUGAAAUCCCUCGGGAUGUAAACUUCGCAAGAACAAGGAAGAAUAAGUAGGGGACAAUACCCCCUAUGAUGACGGUACUGUUUGUAAGCUCCGGCUAACUCCGUGCC